Molecule: ribosomal RNA, 626 nt
Filed under: uncultured bacterium
Lineage: Bacteria
Description: bacterial SSU rRNA
Rfam family: Bacterial small subunit ribosomal RNA
Source: RNAcentral
AAAGCGCAUGCUUUUUGUUGAAAAACCAAGGUGGUAUGGGAUGGACCCGCGUCUGAUUAGCUGGUUGGCGGGGUAAAGGCCCACCAAGGCGACGAUCAGUAGCCGGCCUGAGAGGGCGGACGGCCACAUUGGGACUGAGACACGGCCCAAACUCCUACGGGAGGCAGCAGUGGGGAAUAUUGCACAAUGGGGGAAACCCUGAUGCAGCGACGCCGCGUGAGUGAAGAAGUAAUUCGUUAUGUAAAGCUCUAUCAGCAGGGAAGAAAAUGACGGUACCUGAGUAAGAAGCCCCGGCUAACUACGUGCCAGCAGCCGCGGUAAUACGUAGGGGGCAAGCGUUAUCCGGAUUUACUGGGUGUAAAGGGAGCGUAGACGGCAGUGCAAGUCUGGAGUGAAAGGCGGGGGCUCAACCCCCGGACUGCUCUGGAAACUGUACGGCUGGAGUGCAGGAGAGGUAAGUGGAAUUCCUAGUGUAGCGGUGAAAUGCGUAGAUAUUAGGAGGAACACCAGUGGCGAAGGCGGCUUACUGGACUGUAACUGACGUUGAGGCUCGAAAGCGUGGGGAGCAAACAGGAUUAGAUACCCUGGUAGUCCACGCCGUAAACGAUGCUCAAUAGGUGUCGGGG